CAGGCAAACUGUUUGGGCAACGCGGAGCUUUCAGGUUCCCAAUCCACUGCGUCACUCCCAGGGGAGAUGCGUGGCUCAGGCACGCUGCAGGCCAUGCGAUAAGUGCCGCCCACAUUUUCUCACACACACACACCCCAGUGGUGACACCCAGGACGGACCGCACCCACCGCACCCCCCCCCCUUUCUCCAGACCUGCCUCCAGCCCCAGGCAGCCUGCUUGCUCUACUCCAACAGAGCACAUGUGUAGCCGUGUGGGCUACAGGAGCAUCGCUUUUUCUUAAAAGCCAACAUCCCAACAUGGAGCUCUUUUGGAAGGGAUGGGAGAGUUGGGCGCAUUGAAUCUAGUCCUUCCUCACUCUCAGGCAGCUCAUUAGAACGAUCCCAGGCUUUUUAAAGGGCCGGUGUGCUUUUAGCCCUUGUUCCCGGCUCAGACUGUAGACUCUCCUUCAUCAGAGGAGAUUUUAAAGCAGAGGUUGGAUGGCCAUCAGUCGGGGAUUCUUUAGCUGUGAUUCCUUCAUUACAGGGGGUUGGUUUGGAUGACCCCGUGGGGUCCCUCCCAGCGCUCUUAUGAAAACACAAGAAUUGGAUUCGUUUGCAUUAUUAAACUUUUCUGUCCAUGCCCUUUUAUUUUUCUUGUUACUAGCAGGAGGAUGGAAGCCUCCCAUCAUCAGGUGCGAAUGUUCGACACCAGCAUCAAAGUUUCAAGGCUGCAUUACACACCAUGCAUUUAUAAAGCACACAACUUCCCCCAAAGCAGCCUUGGAACUGAAGUUAAGGGUGCUGGGAUUCCCAGCAUUCUUUCGAUGGGUUGGAGGAUGUGCUUUAAAUGUAUGGCAUGCGUAACAGCCCGAGUUGAGAGUGUUUUGGAAGGCGAAAAUCCCGAGAGACGGUGAGAGAGAGAUGGGAAUAAUACUGUCUCCUUAUGCGUCCUGUCCACAAAAGAAUGAGGCACGUUGUUAAUUCUGCUGUACAAGAUUGUAUUCUGUAUAUAAAUAUAUAUAUAUAUAAAUAUAUAUAUAUGAUUUCAUGUAAAUAAUGGGGGAAAUCUAUAUUCAGAGUUCUAUUUUAAUUUUUAUUCAAAAACGGAGCAAAAGAAAACUUUUUACUCGAAGCGUUGUAAACCAGAUUUGUUGUUAAUAAAGUCAUUCAAAAGGA
Podarcis raffonei (Aeolian wall lizard) is the source of this 1155-nucleotide long non-coding RNA. RefSeq lists it as uncharacterized. Lineage: Eukaryota; Metazoa; Chordata; Lepidosauria; Squamata; Lacertidae. The transcript has 2 exons. The record is from RefSeq and is a predicted model, not a curated record.